ACAGCAGUAGCCACGGUAAUACGAGGGGGGCAAGCGUUGUUCGGAAUUAUUGGGCGUAAAGGGUGCGUAGGCGGUUUGACAAGUCUUGUGUGAAAUCUUCGGGCUCAACCCGAAGCCUGCACGAGAAACUGUUGAGCUUGAGUAUUGGAGAGGUGAGUGGAAUUUCCGGUGUAGCGGUGAAAUGCGUAGAUAUCGGAAGGAACACCUGUGGCGAAAGCGGCUCACUGGACAAUAACUGACGCUGAUGCACGAAAGCUAGGGGAGCAAACAGGAUUAGAUACCCGCGUAGUCCCUGUCUCUUAUAA
This 305-nucleotide ribosomal RNA is filed under the name uncultured bacterium. Its description in RNAcentral is "partial 16S ribosomal RNA". It matches the Rfam family "Bacterial small subunit ribosomal RNA", at positions 505 to 809 of the family's 1533-position model. The record is from RNAcentral.